GAUGAAGAACGCAGUGAAAUGCGAUAAGUAAUGCGAAUUGCAGAAUUCCGUGAGUCAUCGAAUCUUUGAACGCACAUUGCGCCCUCUGGUAUUCCGGAGGGCAUGCCUGUCUGAGCGUCAUUGUCAACCCUCAAGCUCAGCUUGCUGUUGGGUCCCCGUCGUUGCUUUAACGGCGGACCCGAAAGGUAAUGGCAGAGUCCGUGAGACCCUAGACGCAGCGAGCUUCUAGCACGCGUCUGGACGUUUUUCGGGCUCGGUCUUAACUAGAUGAUAACUUCCGAUUGACCUCAGAUCAGGUAGGGAUACCCGCUGAACUUAAGCAUCUCAAUAAGCGGAGGA
Molecule: unclassified non-coding RNA, 339 nt
Filed under: soil metagenome
Description: partial contains 5.8S ribosomal RNA, internal transcribed spacer 2, and large subunit ribosomal RNA
Rfam family: 5.8S ribosomal RNA (bases 1-120)
Source: RNAcentral